Molecule: ribosomal RNA, 253 nt
Filed under: uncultured bacterium
Lineage: Bacteria
Description: partial 16S ribosomal RNA
Rfam family: Bacterial small subunit ribosomal RNA
Source: RNAcentral
UACGAAGGGGGCUAGCGUUGCUCGGAAUCACUGGGCGUAAAGGGUGCGUAGGCGGGUCUUUAAGUCAGGGGUGAAAUCCUGGAGCUCAACUCCAGAACUGCCUUUGAUACUGAGGAUCUUGAGUUCGGGAGAGGUGAGUGGAACUGCGAGUGUAGAGGUGAAAUUCGUAGAUAUUCGGAAGAACACCAGUGGCGAAGGCGACUCGCUGGACAGACAUUGACGCUGAGGUGCAAAAGCGUGGGGAGCAAACAGG